GCAAGCCUGACGGAGCAAUACCGCGUGAGGGAGGAAGGCCUUUGGGUUGUAAACCUCUUUUCUUAAGGAAGAAGAUCUGACGGUACUUAAGGAAUCAGCAUCGGCUAACUCCGUGCCAGCAGCCGCGGUAAUACGGAGGAUGCAAGCGUUAUCCGGAAUUAUUGGGCGUAAAGCGUCCGCAGGCGGCACUAUAAGUCUGCUGUCAAAGACCGCAGCUCAACUGCGGAAAGGCAGUGGAAACUGUAGAGCUAGAGUACGGUAGGGGUAGAGGGAAUUCCCAGUGUAGCGGUGAAAUGCGUAGAGAUUGGGAAGAACACCAGUGGCGAAAGCGCUCUACUGGGCCGUAACUGACGCUCAGGGACGAAAGCUAGGGGAGCG
Molecule: ribosomal RNA, 378 nt
Filed under: uncultured cyanobacterium
Lineage: Bacteria; Bacillati; Cyanobacteriota
Description: bacterial SSU rRNA
Rfam family: Bacterial small subunit ribosomal RNA
Source: RNAcentral